RNAcentral lists this transfer RNA (74 nucleotides) under Oxalobacteraceae bacterium. Its description in RNAcentral is "tRNA-Trp". It matches the Rfam family "tRNA". Rfam says of the family: Transfer RNA (tRNA) molecules are approximately 80 nucleotides in length. Their secondary structure includes four short double-helical elements and three loops (D, anti-codon, and T loops). Lineage: Bacteria; Pseudomonadati; Pseudomonadota; Betaproteobacteria; Burkholderiales; Oxalobacteraceae. The record is from RNAcentral.
GUCGGUGUAGUGUAACGGUAGCACUACGGUCUCCAAAACCGUCAGUGAAGGUUCAAAUCCUUCCACCCUCGCCA